GAUGAACGCUGGCGGCGUGCCUAAUACAUGCAAGUCGAGCGAACAGACGAGGAGCUUGCUCCUCUGACGUUAGCGGCGGACGGGUGAGUAACACGUGGAUAACCUACCUAUAAGACUGGGAUAACUUCGGGAAACCGGAGCUAAUACCGGAGAAUAUAUUGAACCGCAUGGUUCAAUAGUGAAAGACGGUUAUGCUGACACUUAUAGAUGGAUCCGCGCCGCAUUAGCUAGUUGGUAAGGUAACGGCUUAACAAGGCGACGAGGCGUAGCCGACCUGAGAGGGUGAUCGGCCACACGGGAACUGAGAGACGGUCCAGACACCUACGGGAGGCAGCAGUAGGGAAUCUUACGCAAUGGGCGAAAGCCUGACGGAGCAACGCCGCGUGAGUGAUGAAGGUCUUCGGAUCGUAAAACUCUGUUAGUAGGGAAGAACAAAUGUGUAAGUAACUAUGCACGUCUUGACGGUACCUAAUCAGAAAGCCACGGCUAACUACGUG
This 497-nucleotide ribosomal RNA is filed under the name uncultured bacterium. Its description in RNAcentral is "partial 16S ribosomal RNA". It matches the Rfam family "Bacterial small subunit ribosomal RNA", at positions 28 to 507 of the family's 1533-position model. The record is from RNAcentral.